This is a long non-coding RNA of Meriones unguiculatus (Mongolian gerbil), 1994 nucleotides long. RefSeq lists it as uncharacterized. The transcript is spliced from 3 exons. The record is from RefSeq and is a predicted model, not a curated record. Lineage: Eukaryota; Metazoa; Chordata; Mammalia; Rodentia; Muridae.
AACACAGAAACAAUCCUGGUAGACUGUGUGUCUCCCUCCCAGGACUUCCAACCGAUGGGACGUACAGAUAACUCGGCAAUUAUAGCAACUGUGAUAAACACCAAGUUGGGAAACAGGGCAGGCGCUGUAUUAAGAGCAAGUGAGAUGAGGUCGCCUUCGCUCUGGGACGUCAAGGGAGGCUCCCUCCAGACCGGAGAUCUAAGCUGGACAUGAUCUAAGCUGGACCAGAUAAAUAUUACCUCGCUGAAAUGCAGAGUGCGCUCUACGCGUACUGGGCUUUUUUUCCUGGGCUUUUCCUAUACAUGGAAACCGCGGCUACAGCCAACUUAGGCAGGUAACUGUUGAGGUUACCCAGGCAGGGUAACCUCAGUGAGAACAAAGAUAAGGACAGAAACAUCGGGUACGUUUUCCUUUCAGGAACACGCAGAAGGGACCAAAGGGAGCCUGGAGAAGGAAGGAACACUUAGAGGCGAAGGACCAAGAAGAGCUGGCGAACGUGGUGAGGAAGCUGCUGCUGACCACUCUGGAGCAGGGGCUUCUGAUGAGCCAAUCAGACACUGUUUGAUGAACUAGACUGGAAGUGCCCAGGUCGGGGGAAGGGAGCUCAGCAGGCCGCUCUCCAACUGUCCAAACAGCGCCCAGCCGAGGGGAGUCAAAGUGAAAACUGUUAUUCAAGGCUCUGAGUCAAAUCCAUACUUUUUUUAGAUACAAAACGAACACCACCAUUGACAGAAUCACCAUCUUGCAAAACCCCAUAAAGAGGCUACAAGGGAUCAAUGCUGUGCUUCAUGUCACGUGGAGGAUUCCAUUUUCUCCCCCAAGGAUAUGCUGGCUGCGCUGAAGGGGACACGCCCAGCGAUGACCUCAAACUUCAGCCAGCCAUCCAAUUCUUAAUUGGAAACACAGGGCUGUGCAGCUUGCUGCCAACCAACACAAUACAGGAGAAUCACAAACUCAGAUCCCAAAUCAUCGAGUUCGUCUCAAAAGGAGCAACUUUCAAGCUAAGUUUCCUUUCCUGUGUCUGCGAGGCCUCUCUGCUAUGGAAAUGGACCUGUGAGUUUUCUUCAGUCUCCAAGCUCCUGCUGCCAGACUGAAUCUACAACGUUGGUCAUGUGAGUUUUAUGACUUUUCUGAAGAUAUUAUAAGGAGAACUCUGACGUGUCCACUGCUGAGGUGAGGAGAAAUACCCACAUUUCCUGCACCACUGUCACCUGUCCAGUGCCCCCACAAACAGCGAAAGAAUCUAACAUCAUGAAGCCUUUUCUUAGGCAAGUUACUGUGCACACUUAUGCCAAGAUAUUCUGUGACAACUGGAAAGAGGUUUGUUUAAAAGUCAAAGGGAUUCCUAACACAGAGGUGAGAGGUAAAGAUCUGAAGCACAUUUAAGACUGAACUUUGUCACAGUAUCAUGGGCACCAGCCAUGCAUGGCCUGACCAUGAACUCCAAAGUCACAUGCGCAUACAGCUAUAAAUAUGUAUCCUUCACCCCAGGCGUCUUUAUGAUUUGGAAGGGUUUAAAAGCCUGUACUAUCUAACAAUAAAUGUGACAGUCCAUUUGGUUGUGUUUUCCAUUACAGCUGACGGGGCAAAGGGUUCAACAGACCCUGUUGGUACUGGUUUCUCCUAAUGAUCCCUGUCCUAGUCUGCCAUUAGCACAACUUAAAGAAAACCUCACUCUUGUUCAAAUGGCUACGUAAGGCAGAAAGGGAAACUUUUACAAGGUUAUAAUUGUGUCUGAUGUCAGUCACUCACCUGCCAAAACCAGUCAACAUUGACGAACAUCUCAGGUACUGUACUUGAAGGAGAGUUAAUGAAUUGACUGAGACAGCUCUCACCAUGCAGCCCUGGCUGGCCUGGAGCUCCAUGUGUGGAACAGGCUGGCCUUAAACUUACGCCCCGCCCGUACCUGCCUCCCAAAGUGCUGGGAUUAAAGGCGUGUGCUGCACCCAUGUUUGAAUUUGUGUUCUUGUACAAUACACUGUGGCACAGGCUCU